CCCGCCCCGCCCCGUCACCCUUUGCUGGGUGCACCAGGACCCCUCACCCACUCCACAUCCUCUGGCUCAGAAACAACACCUUUUCUGCUCCGCUCCCUCCCUAUCCCAGGUUUGAGAACAGGGAAGCGACACCACAAGGUACUUGAUCCACCGGGGGUGAGUGCCCCAGAUUCCCGACUACCAUCAUUUUGAUGCCAACCAUUGCUCAGAGGUCUCAAAUUGGCUGUGAGGUUCAAUGAGUUAAAGCCUGAGGGAGGUUGACCCAGGGCUUGGCACAUUGGCACAUGUGACCAUGAACUCUGAGAAGAGGUCCCUUACCUGGAUUAAACCUAGGGUCUCACUACGUUACCCACGCUGUCCUUGAACUUGAGUACCUCCUGCCUCAGCUUCUGGAGUCGCUGGGAUUGCAGUUGUGCUCCACCACAGCCAGCAAGACCCUGAUCUUCCAGGCCAGGAAACAUCCUCCGAAAGAGACACUCACCCCCAAAGGGAACAGGGAUCCUAAGUGACUUCUCUGAGCUGCGGAAGAGAAGCUGGGGCUCUGAGGGGCCAACUGCCAACAAAGAGAGAGCAGAGGUGGGAUCUGAACCCUGGUCUCCUGCCUCCGCCUGCCGCUGCUCCUUCCAUGCUGUCUUACCUCUCCAACACACUCCUGCUUCCCUCCUACGGAACCCCAGCCUCCAUCUGUCCUUGUUUUCUGCACUUUUAGAGUCUCCACUGAUUAGCAGAGGAUUCAUGGAAAGGUUUAUGGAGAUUCCAGCUUUUGAAUCCCUGAAUGUCGACAUUGAAUCCACACGCAACCAGACUUAAUCAACAGUGUGGGCUCCACCACUCCCCAGGCUGAAUCUGCCAUAUUUCAGAAAAAGCAAGAAAGUUUUUCUUUUUCUUUUUUGGGGGGGGUUGGGCACCACCCAUGGAGGCUGCAGUCCCUCUCCCUCCUCUUUACACCUACAUUGUUCCUCUGGUCUGUGGAGACAAUUCUGGUGAGUGAAGGGAAGAGGGGAUGGGGGAGACAGAAAGAGAGAGAAAAAAUGAGCAAGCUGGAGGCUGUCACUGGGUCAGGGUAGAGCCUUCCAUGGUAGAGGAAUUUGCAGAAACUUCUGCCCCCAAACAUUCUGAAAUAGGAACAAGCAGUAUGACACACAGAAAAAUCCAGCAAUGGAGAUGACAUAAGUCCUGUUCCUGCCCCACAGAAAGCGUAGGAAUUACACUCUUAAUGGUUGUUCCUUCCUCCUCAGCUCUGAGCCUUAAGAGGUCAGGCAGGAGGCUGGGAUCAGAGCUUCCUUGGAUUUUCCAAGUGUUUCAUUCACAUUCUGGCUUUGGGGCGGAGAGACCCCUAAAAAGGGCCAUGAGGGGGAAUCAUGUGGGGAGAAAAAGAAGAACCACACAGGCACCUUGGCUGGGGGAGGGCAUAUUCCUCAGUGAACGUUGUGGCAACAUUAAGAAAACAGGCUUUUUCUGGUGUGUGUGUUUGAAUUUUUUUUUUCCCCAAAGUCAUUCAAAUAACACCUUCUUAUUGUAGAGCAUUUGGAAAGAAGGAGGAAAAUGAUGUCUUCCAGAGGCAAUCAUUUAAAAAUUUGGUAUUUUAAUUUAGAAAGAAAAUAUGCACCUUAAUUUGUGUUUAAUUUUUCCAUGUUUCCUUCCAGUCUUUAUCUAUAUAUAAACACACCAAUGACAACAUGAA
Non-coding RNA from Marmota flaviventris (yellow-bellied marmot), 1684 nucleotides. The record is from RefSeq and is a predicted model, not a curated record. Lineage: Eukaryota; Metazoa; Chordata; Mammalia; Rodentia; Sciuridae.